GACGAACGCUGGCGGCGUGCUUAGCACAUGCAAGUCGAACGGAAAGACCCUGCUUUUGUGGGGUGCUCGAGUGGCGAACGGGUGAGUAACACGUGAGUAACCUGCCCUUGACUUUGGGAUAACUUCAGGAAACUGGGGCUAAUACCGGAUAGGAGCUCCUGCUGCAUGGUGGGGGUUGGAAAGUUUCGGCGGUUGGGGAUGGACUCGCGGCUUAUCAGCUUGUUGGUGGGGUAGUGGCUUACCAAGGCUUUGACGGGUAGCCGGCCUGAGAGGGUGACCGGCCACAUUGGGACUGAGAUACGGCCCAGACUCCUACGGGAGGCAGCAGUGGGGAAUAUUGCACAAUGGGCGGAAGCCUGAUGCAGCAACGCCGCGUGCGGGAUGACGGCCUUCGGGUUGUAAACCGCCUUCGCCUGUGACGAAGCGUGAGUGACGGUAAUGGGUAAAGAAGCACCGGCUAACUACGUG
This 468-nucleotide ribosomal RNA is filed under the name uncultured bacterium. RNAcentral's name for it is "partial 16S ribosomal RNA". It matches the Rfam family "Bacterial small subunit ribosomal RNA", at positions 28 to 507 of the family's 1533-position model. The record is from RNAcentral.